CGUACUUCAUGAUAUCAGAACUGUGGGGACACAGAGACAAAGGACGAGCCGGGAAUGGAAAAACCGGUGCAAGCGAGGUUGCUUCAUGGGAGGGAAAGCCCCCAUGUAUAAGGCGAAUGCGUGAAGCGUAGCGAACUUAAAAGUAGCGAAGCGUGUGGAGUCACUGUCAGGAAAAGCCGCUAUUGCGUAUCAUGAACCCGUACCGUAAACCGCCACAGGUGGAUGAGGAGAGAAUCCUAAGGCCGACGGAAGAAGCAUUGUUAAGGAAUUCGGCAAAAUGACCCCGUAACUUCGGGAGAAGGGGUGCCUACGAAUGUAGGCCGCAGAGAAUUGGCCCAAGCAACUGUUUAGCAAAAACACAGGUUUAUGCGAAACCGAAAGGUGAAGUAUAUGAGCUGACGCCUGCCCGGUGCUGGAAGGUUAAGGGGAGAGCUUAGAGGCAACUCGAAGGUUCGAACUUAAGCCCCAGUAAACGGCGGCCGUAACAAUAACGGUCCUAAGGUAGCGAAAUUCCUUGUCGGGUAAGUUCCGACCCGCACGAAAGGCGUAAUGAUUUGGGCACUGUCUCGGCAAUGCAUCCGGUGAAAUUGAAAUACCAGUGAAGAUGCUGGUUACCCGCGCCAGGACGGAAAGACCCCAUGGAGCUUUACUCCAGUUUGAUGCUGGGAUUCGGUACUGCAUGUACAGGAUAGGCGGGAGACUAGGAAGAUAUAACGCCAGUUGUAUCAGAGUCGCUGUUGGGAUACCGCCCUUGUAGUACUGGGUUUCUAACCUGCCACCGUGAACCGGUGGAGGGACAACGUCAGGCGGGGAGUUUGACUGGGGCGGUCGCCUCCGAAAGGGUAUCGGAGGCGCUCAAAGGUUCCCUCAGAAUGGUUGGAAACCAUUCGAAGAGUGCAAAGGCAGAAGGGAGCUUGACUGCGAGGUCGACGGACCGAGCAGGUACGAAAGUAGGACUUAGUGAUCCGGUGGUAGAAAGUGGGAUUGCCAUCGCUCAACGGAUAAAAGCUACCCUGGGAUAACAGGCUGAUCACUCCCAAGAGUUCACAUCGACGGAGUGGUUUGGCACCUCGAUGUCGGCUCAUCGCAUCCUGGGGCUGUAGCAGGUCCCAAGGGUUGGGCUGUUCGCCCAUUAAAGCGGUACGCGAGCUGGGUUCAGAACGUCGUGAGACAGUUCGGUCCCUAUCCGGCGCGGGCGUAGGAUAUCUGAAAGGAGCUGGCCUUAGUACGAGAGGACCGGGCUGGACGGACCGCUGGUGUAUCUGUUGUCAUACCAAUGGCAUAGCAGGGUAGCCAAGUCUGGAAGGGAUAAACGCUGAAGGCAUCUAAGCGUGAAGCCCCCCUUAAGAUAAGAUAUCCCUGGAGUUAAUCCAGUAAGACCCCUUGAAGACGACGAGGUAGAUAGGGCAGAGGUGGAAGUGUGGUAACACAUGGAGCUGACUGUCACUAAUAGGUCGAGGGCUUGAUC
RNAcentral lists this ribosomal RNA (1468 nucleotides) under metagenome. RNAcentral's name for it is "bacterial LSU rRNA". It matches the Rfam family "Bacterial large subunit ribosomal RNA", at positions 1440 to 2925 of the family's 2925-position model. The record is from RNAcentral.